GUUGUCUGCAUGCGCGAGGCAGCCUGACAUCAUGUAUCAGGAUGGUGCCUGCAUGGAAACCAAAUGAAACUCUCUGGAGCUUUCCGAAGACUCAGGUUGCCUGUGGAGAGAUGACUGUGAUGGCUGCCAAACUGAUUCGAGGCUUGUUGAUGCAGAGGAGGUGACUGCUGGUGCCCGUGUCUGGUGUAGACUACUCCGCUCCUUGACCCAUUGCUGACCAGAAGUGGUGCUGAGGGGCCAGGCUGCGCCAUGUGAGGGGGGCGCCAGAACCCUCUGGAACCUUCUGGAAGCAGCCAGGGCCUCUCCUCACAGAGCCCCACAGCUGAUGUCUGGA
This is a long non-coding RNA of Oxyura jamaicensis (ruddy duck), 334 nucleotides long. RefSeq lists it as uncharacterized. The transcript is spliced from 3 exons. Lineage: Eukaryota; Metazoa; Chordata; Aves; Anseriformes; Anatidae. The record is from RefSeq and is a predicted model, not a curated record.